GGGUUGUGAGGUUAAGCGACUAAGCGUACACGGUGGAUGCCCUGGCAGUCAGAGGCGAUGAAGGACGUGCUAAUCUGCGAUAAGCGUCGGUAAGGUGAUAUGAACCGUUAUAACCGGCGAUUUCCGAAUGGGGAAACCCAGUGUGAUUCGUCACACUAUCAUUAACUGAAUCCAUAGGUUAAUGAGGCGAACCGGGGGAACUGAAACAUCUAAGUACCCCGAGGAAAAGAAAUCAACCGAGAUUCCCCCAGUAGCGGCGAGCGAACGGGGAGCAGCCCAGAGCCUGAAUCAGUGUGUGUGUUAGUGGAAGCGUCUGGAAAGGCGCGCGAUACAGGGUGACAGCCCCGUACACAAAAAUGCACAUAUUGUGAGCU
This 374-nucleotide ribosomal RNA is filed under the name Shigella sonnei. RNAcentral describes it as "bacterial LSU rRNA". It matches the Rfam family "Bacterial large subunit ribosomal RNA", at positions 1 to 409 of the family's 2925-position model. The record is from RNAcentral. Lineage: Bacteria; Pseudomonadati; Pseudomonadota; Gammaproteobacteria; Enterobacterales; Enterobacteriaceae.